GAUGAACGCUGGCGGCGUGCCUAAUACAUGCAAGUCGAACGAGGUGCCUUUGUAGCAAUACGAAGGUAUCCUAGUGGCGAACGGGUGAGUAACGCGUUGGUGACCUACCCCAAAGUGUGGGAUAACAGAUCGAAAGAUCUGCUAAUACCGCAUGUGGUCUUCGGAUUUAGAAACUGAUGACUAAAGGAGCAAUUCGCUUUGGGAGGGACCUGCGUCCCAUCAGCUAGUUGGUGAGGUAAUGGCUCACCAAGGCUACGACGGGUAGGGGACUUGAGAGGGUGGCCCCCCCACAAUGGAACUGAAACACGGUCCAUACACCUACGGGUGCAGCAGUAGGGAAUAUUGCACAAUGGGCGAAAGCCUGAUGCAGCAACGCCGCGUGUGCGAUGAAGGCCUUCGGGUCGUAAAG
RNAcentral lists this ribosomal RNA (409 nucleotides) under uncultured bacterium. RNAcentral describes it as "bacterial SSU rRNA". It matches the Rfam family "Bacterial small subunit ribosomal RNA", at positions 28 to 430 of the family's 1533-position model. The record is from RNAcentral.